This 3657-nucleotide unclassified non-coding RNA is filed under the name Neodiprion lecontei (redheaded pine sawfly). RNAcentral's name for it is "voltage-dependent L-type calcium channel subunit beta-2, transcript variant X17". The record is from RNAcentral. Lineage: Eukaryota; Metazoa; Arthropoda; Insecta; Hymenoptera; Diprionidae.
GUGCCGCUGCUGGUGAACGCGGGUUAGGCACCCUCGUUACUUGUUUUUUACACCUGAAAACAUCCAGGAAAUAAUUUCUAAUCUCGAACGUGACAUUAUUCGAUUUAACAAGGCUUCGGUUUUUUUUUUUUACAACUUGCGUUUUUUUUCCGUUCGUUGGUUCGUUACUUCGGCACCGCGCAACCAUGCGUUGUGCAAACUUGUUCCCCGUCAACGAGCGGCUGUUUUACGUGAUACAAAAUUGACAACUCGUCGAGGGAAAAAUCGUCGUUUUAAUAAUUAAUACUCGUCUACACCGUGCCUGAGUUUUUCCACCGCGUGACGGCACGCGGUAGAUUAAUCGUCACAUAUACGAAACAUACGAUAAUACACGGUUGUACGAUUCGUUGUGGUACAUUUUUCACGUAAAUACGACAAGGUAUUUUUUCCUUCUUCCUUUUUUUUUCACAUCGCAAUUCCAUACUUCGUCGCUACUGCGGCUGCUACUGGUGCUACUUUUUACGACGAAAACGUCAAGAAGAGAUCCCAACCUUCAUUUGUCGGGGUUGGGUCCGUAGCAACGUGGAACCUCAUCUGCAGAUCCUUCUCAAAGACGUUGAUAUCGGAAAGUAAGAAAAACCCAGACGGGACACGGAGAUUAGUGUAUGUAAAUAUUACCUCAAGAGUUCUGCAAGGUAGCCGCAGUUACAAAUCUCCUACGUUCCACGUUCGCGAUGAAACUUAACCUCUAUACGACGAUUGAUACGCACUGUGCAGCGUAGAACUGUGCUAAACAUGGAUUUAGUCGGGGUUGAAAAUUAAAAAUAGGACUACAAACACUCCUCAAUUCCAGUAUCUCUUCUUUCAUUUACGAUUCAUCUUUCCCGAAUUAUUUCUCGGUAAAUUAAAUCCAAACGACACGUAGAACGAAAGAAACCAAAACAAACGAGUAAUGACGCAUUAUUGAUACCGGUAAUAGUAUACGUAACAUAGCUACGAGUUCGUCUUGAUUCACCUGUAUUAUUGUUGUUCGUAAUACAUUUACCCGAACGUACACCCCCCUCCCUGUCCCCUCUCCUCCUCUCCUCUUCCUCCUGUCCCACUCCCGCAGUUUAUAAUCGACAACCCCAAUCGUCGGUCACAGCUGUGGAAACCUGCGUCAACGUGAAGUGCGUGCCUGUGUGUUGUGUAUAAUGACGAAUCUCGUUUGAGUGAAUAAUAGUAGGUGUACGAAACCCUCGUGUUGUACGCAAAAUUUGUUAAUUAAAAUAUGACAUACCUCGAUCGUUCGAAUGUGUAUAAUAAGAAUAAUAAAUAAAUUUAAAAAAGAAAUAAAAAGACAAAGAAAAACAAACGACGAGUAAGAACCAGUUUUUAAAACAAUAACAGCAACAACAGCAACAACAAAAAUAACGUACACGUGAAGAAAGAAAUUAUUCUCGGGGCAACGGGGCGACGAGAAGACAACAACAAACGGAGGUAAACCAGGAACUCGAAGCGAGGCUCGUGAAUCGUGUAGCAUAGACGGAUGAUAACAGAAUGCUUGGAUGUGAAUAAGAAAGCGGAGGAUUGAUCGUUAAAUAGCAGUGGGGUUAAAAGUGCGGGGGGCAGGAGGGUCCCGAUUGGUGCAGGUGUGCUGCCAGCGGUGCCCGGGUUCCUGCCCGGUGGCGAGGGGGAGGUUGUGGUGCGAGUGGAGAGCCCCGACGAGGAGAGUCCUGUGGUUUGUGAUGAGGUUCAGCCCCCCGGAGGGGUCAAGAGCUGGAGCAGAGAGCAGCCCCUCGGCAGGGUGGUUGUGAGAGGAUCCGCCCGGGUGGCGAGGGGCCGGGCCGUGGAGGAGGCCGGGAAAGGAUGGUGUGACGAACGGCGUCAUCCUCCCCGAGGACGCGGAGGCCUCGGCGAAGGCGAGGAGCUGUAUCUCGACUCGGAGGACGAACUGGCGAUGUCGAGACAGUCUCGCGCCGAUCGAGACCCCCGCGAACCCCGAGAGCACCGCGACUCCCGCGACCAGGGACACCUUCACCAGCGUCCCAUCCUCCAGCGCGACGACCGCGAUUACACCGAGUACGACCUCCAUCCCACCUCCGCUGCAUCAGCUGGACCCGCCGCCGCCAAUGCCGUUGCCAACAACCCGGGCUCGGCAGACUCCAACUACUCGCAGCCAAGCUCGGAUCUAUCGUUGGACGAAGAAAAGGAGAGCCUGCGUCGGGAGAAAGAAAGACAAGCUCUUAACCAACUGGAGAAAGCAAGGACGAAGCCGGUAGCGUUCGCCGUCAGGACGAACGUUAGCUACGACGGAUCCGUCGACGACGACUCACCGGUUCACGGAUCGGCCGUUAGUUUCGACGUCAGAGAUUUCCUCCACAUCAAGGAGAAGUACGAUAACAAUUGGUGGAUAGGGAGGCUGGUAAAAGAGGGAUGCGACGUCGGUUUUAUUCCUUCGCCGGUUAAGCUCGAGGCACUUAGACUUCAGGCAAGCGCUGCUCGCGGCACUAAGGGUCUCUACUCAGCAAGGGGUGGCUCUUCAGGAAAUCUCGGUGAAAGUGGGAUGCCGUCACGAGGAUCGACGCCGCCAACGCCAGGUGACGAUAGUGACAGCGUGGGUAACGUUAGGCCGGGAAAAACGACCCUCACAACGCCGCCGGCGAAAGAAAAGCGAAAGAACUUCUUCAAGAAACCGUCUUACGAGACCGCCACACCGUACGACGUCGUUCCUUCAAUGAGGCCCGUAGUUCUUGUCGGUCCUUCCCUGAAGGGUUACGAAGUCACCGACAUGAUGCAGAAAGCGUUGUUCGACUUUCUGAAACACCGCUUCGAGCGCAGGAUCAUUAUAACGAGAGUUAUGGCUGAUAUAUCGCUGGCCAAAAGAUCUUUACUAAAUAACCCUACGAAACGUGCUAUAAUGGAAAGAUCGACCAGCAGAAGUAGCUGUCUUGCGGAGGUUCAGGCUGAAAUAGAGAGAAUUUUUGAACUCGCGAGAACGCUCCAACUAGUGGUUCUGGACUGCGACACGAUAAACCAUCCUUCGCAGCUCGCGAAGACGAGUUUGGCACCGACGAUUGUCUACUUGAAGAUAUCGUCGCCGAAAGUGCUCCAGAGGCUGAUUAAAUCCCGGGGUAAAUCUCAGGCCCGGCAUCUGAACGUGCAGAUGGUCGCGGCGGAGAAACUCGCCCAGUGCCCGCCGGAAAUGUUCGACGUUAUCCUCGACGAGAACCAGCUCGACGAGGCCUGCGAACACGUUGCCGAAUACCUCGAAGCCUACUGGAGAGCCACUCACCCCCCUGUCGCCACCCCAGUUCCUAGGGUCAUGCCGGCUCCUGACGCCCCCGUCGACACUCUCGCGCCCCGCGUGACGCCAGUACGGGGAAAGAAGGACGAAGAUCUUGGCUACGGGAGGUGGAUUAGAAGAACGUGAAAACCAAGAACAUCUCAUUUUUUCUCUGAGUCAUUGUCGUAAAGAAAUUUAAUAACAGUUGAAUACGUCAAAUGGAAAUUUUCACGUUACUAACACCCUAAUAAUUUCUCUACCAUCAGGAGGUCAUCAUGAGAGCUACUAUGGUCAUGAACCACGAGGGUCCUCGUCUUACGGCGGUAGUCACGGCGGGACGGGAACGCGGCGCUCGAGAUUAGAGCGAUUGGACCGCGAACGAUCGGACCACGACUAUCCCGAAGAGGACAACU